This 343-nucleotide unclassified non-coding RNA is filed under the name soil metagenome. RNAcentral's name for it is "partial contains 5.8S ribosomal RNA, internal transcribed spacer 2, and large subunit ribosomal RNA". The stretch from base 1 to 120 matches the Rfam family "5.8S ribosomal RNA", at positions 35 to 154 of the family's 154-position model. The record is from RNAcentral.
GAUGAAGAACGCAGCGAAAUGCGAUAAGUAAUGUGAAUUGCAGAAUUCAGUGAAUCAUCGAAUCUUUGAACGCACAUUGCGCCCGCCGGUAUUCCGGCGGGCAUGCCUGUUCGAGCGUCAUUUCAACCAUCAAGCCCUGGGCUUGUGUUGGGGACCUGCGGCUGCCGCAGGCCCUGAAAUGCAGUGGCGGGCUCGCAGACACACCGAGCGUAGUAGCUUACAACCUCGCUUUGGGAGUGCUGCGGGUGCUGGCCGUAAAGCGACCUUUGCGUCUUUAGCACUAGGUUGACCUCGGAUCAGGUAGGAGGACCCGCUGAACUUAAGCAUAUCAAUAAGCGGAGGA